CUCCUGCCUCAGCCUCCCGAGUAGCUGGGACUACAGGCACCUGCCACCUCACCCGGCUAGUUUUUUGUAUUUUUAGUAGAGAUGGGGUUUCACCAUGUUAGCCAGGAUGGUCUCGAUCUCCUGACCUCGUGAUCCGCCCACCUCGGCCUCCCAAAGUGCUGGGAUUACAGGCGUGAGCCACUGCGCCUGGUCUAACUUCUUUCUUAUUUUUUUGAGACGGAGUCUUGCUCUGUCACCCAGGCUGUCACAAUCUCGGCUCACUGCAACCUCCACCUCCCAGGUUCAAACAAUUCUCCUGCCUCAGCCUCCCGAGUAGCUGAGAUUACAGGCAUGCGCCACCAUGCCUGGGCUCAUUUUUGUAUUUUUAGUAGAGAUGGAGUUUCACCAUCUUGGCCAGGAUGGUCUCGAACUCCUGACCUCGUGAUCUGCCCACCUCAGCCUCCCAAAGUGCUGGGAUUUCAGGCGUGAGCCACCGUGUCUGGCCCUUUCUUUUUUGUUUUUUAAGAGACAGGAUCUCACUUUGUCUCCCAGGCUGGCGUGCAGUGGCAGUCGCAGCUCACUGCAGCCUCGACCUCCUGGGUUCAAGUGAUUCUCCCGCCUUAGCCACUCGAGUAGCUGAGACUACAGGUACACACUGCCACACGUGGCUAAUUUUUGUAUUUUUCUGUAGAGUCAGGGUCUUGCCAUGUUGCCCAGGCUGGUCUCAAACUCCUGGGCUCAAGUGAUCCUCCCACCCUUUGAAACUCUGAAGCCAAACAGUGGCUUCUCUCCAGCUACGAAAGUCUUAGAUGGCCUCUUCUUCCAGUGGAAAGUUGUUUUGUCUACAUUGAAAAUGUGUUGUUUAGGAUAGCCACCUUCAUCAGUGUUCUUAGCUUUGCUGAACCAGGGACCCCAUAACCCUACCCUAGGAUUCAAGGUGGAAGAUACCAUCCCAGGAUGUGGGAUGGAGGAGACAGUCCAGGUCUCUGAGGGAAAAGCAGAGAGAAAGGCAGGCAGGCACCAUGUUUCCAGGCCACUGCCCCAGAUCUCCGGAGUGCCUAGAGACGGCACUCUCUCCUGCCCUUCAGCUUGUGGUAUCAAAAGUUCAGAGAGACGCUUGGAAUUCCUAGGAAUCCUGAGUCAGAAGCCCAAGAUGGAGAGGGGACCCUGCUGGUCCUGAGUCCUUCUCUGCGGCCCAGAUCCCUAUCCCAGCUCCUAGAACCCAUGCUCAGGGUUGCAGAGGGCAGGGCUGGCAUGGGGGCAAUCCCAGGGCAGUGAGCACUGGGACUCCCAGUGGGGUGUCGGCUCAGUGACUGGCAGAGCUGGCUUCGUGUUUCAUAGACCCACAUACGGUUUGUGAACUUUAGGGGGUCUUAAAAAUGUAAAGGCCCUUAUCAUUGGAUGUUAAAGCCCAAUAAUGACGUGAUUAUUAUCUUGUAAAAGCUCCCUUGUCUUUGAUAGACAUACACAGAUGAUGGGCCGUGGGAGAUGGACGGGGGUCCGGAGACGAAAGGCGGGCCAUGAGCUCCUCACUGUUGAAGCUGGUGAGGACCCAGGCUGAUGGAAUGACUGCUGCCUAGAACAUUGCAGGUCUUCCCAGAUGAGACACAGAGGCUCUGGAGGGUCGUGCAAUAAUACUGCCUCACCGGAAGCUGAGCCUGGUACACGCAGAGCCCACAGGACACCCACAAGAGUCACAUACCUGCCAUUGACCACCUCUGGGCUUUUAAUACCGAAACUUCAAAGAACUUAUGUGUCUCUCAUUACACUUGCUAGCAAUAUUUAUACAGGAACAUGUUGUAUUUAUAUCCCCAAAAAUCAGUAAGAGAAUUUUAACAAAACCAUGUAUGGGAAAAGUCUUAAGUCACAUUUCAGAAACAAUGUGUAGUGGUUGUAAUAACAUGGGGGCAUUUUGCAAAGUUUGAGAACCAACAAAGAGGCGUGCGCACAGCCAGGGUGGGGCUGGGGCUCCUGCAGAGAGAUUUGCUCCACCCUGCGUUCAGGACGCCACCUGCACGAAAUGUUAAGUUCACCUGCGUGUCGUGUGUGUUACUGGCAUACACGCUUCCCUGGUUUAUAGUAACAUUGUAAUUUUUCUCAUUUUUUAAAAGUAAUCCCAGCACUUUGGGAGGCCGAGGCGGGCGGAUCACGAGGUCAGGAGAUCGAGACCAUCCUGGCUAACACGGUGAAACCCCGUCUCUCCUAAAAAUACAAAAAAUUACCCGGGCGUGGUGGCGGGCGCCUGUAGUCCCAGCUGCUCGGGAGGCUGAGGCAGGAGAAUGGCGUGAACCUGGGAGGCAGAGCUUGCAGUGAGCGGAGAUCGUGAGCUCACUGAGUGAGCGAGACUCCGUCUCAAAAAAAAAAAAAAAAAAAUUUUGUGUUUUUUGAGACAGGGUCUCCAUCUGUUGCCCAGGCUGGAAUACAGUGGUAUGAUCACAACUCACUGCCAUGAGUCUGGGAGCCUCGACCUCCAGAGCUCAAGCAAUCCUCCCGUCUCAGCCUCCCAAAUAGCUGGGACCAUAGCAGUGUGCCACCAUGCCUGGCUAAUUUUUGUAUUUUCUGUAGAGAUGGGGGUCUCACUAUGUUGCCCUGGCUAGUCUCGAACUCCUGGGCUCAAGUGAUACUCCCACCUUGACCUCCCAAAGUGCUUGGAUUAAGGCGUGAGCUACCACACCUGGCCAUUUUUCUCAUUUAAAAUAGAUUAUUGGCCGGGCAUGGUGGCUCAUGCCUGUAAUCCGAGCACUUUGGGAGGCUGAGGCGGGUGGAUCACUUGAGGUCAGGAGUUUGAGACCAGCCUGGCCAAUAUGGUGAAAUCCCAUCUCUACUAAAAUACAAAAAUUAGCCGGAUGUGGUGGUGGUCACUUGUAAUCCCAGCUACUGGGGAGGCUGAGGCAGGAGAAUGGCUUGAACCCAGGAGGCAGAGGUUGCAGUGAGCUGAGAUCGCACCACUGCACUCCAGCCUGGGCAAUGAAGUGAGGUUCCAUCUCAAAAUAAUAAUAAUAAUAAAAUAAAAUAGAUUCUCAACUGAAGGUUCUUGGUAUUAAGUGGAGACAUUAAGUGGAGGGCGUGUGUGUGAGUGCCAGUGGCACCCGCGGACGCUUUUUUCAAAUGACGUGUAUUCAUGGCAUGGACUGCCAUUUUUCACAUUUUCUGUUGACUUUCAUUGGUUGGUGCUGCAAAUGAGCAGGUCACGCUAAGGCUGUGGGUAAUCGCCGCCAUCCUCACUCCUCAGCUGAUCCUUCCCAUGCCCAGAGAGGCUGAAAUAAAAAUGAAAUUUAUAAUCCUGGCAGGGCGCGGUGGCUCACGCCCGUAAUCCCAACACUUUGGGAGGCCGAAGCGGGUGGAUCACGAGGUCAGGAGAUCGAGACCAUCCUGGCCAACAUGGUGAAACCCCGUCUCUACUAAAAAUACAAAAACAAAAUUAGCCGGGCGUGGUGGCAGGCGUGUGUAGUCCCAACUACUCGGGAGGCUGAGGCAGGAGAAUGGCAUGAACCCGGGAGGUGGAGGUUGCAGUGAGCCGAGAUCGUGCCCCUGCACUCCAGCCUGGUGACAGAGCGAGAACUGUCUCAACAACAACAACAAAAAAGAAGAAAUUUAUAAUCCUUUGAGUAUUAUAUAUUAUAAAGUAACCAGGAUCUAGUUGUUUCGUUUUGUUUUGUUUUUUACCAAUUGGAAUAAUUCACGUUUAAUGUUUCCAAACCCUUCUGCCUGCAACCGCCGUCCUGGGGAUGAGAAAUCUCUGGGGAGGAGGAGUUUGGGGGCCAGCAUCUUGUGUCGGGGCAUGGGUUGUUGAGAUGACGCUAGCACCCCCCAUCCCCCGCCCCUGCCUACUGGGCUGGUUUCCCCUCCAGGGGGUGAGGUGGCGCCUCCCAGAUGGGACACAGCCUGCUGUCCCCACUUUAGUCAGAAAGCAGGAGUGAGACAGGUGGCCGGGACGAGACGCUGGGGCUGGUAGGCGCUUUGCUGCCAUCUGCUGGGGAGCCCGCAGCAGCCGCCGCCGUGGACCUUGUGCUGGUGGAAAGCACAAAACCACUGUCCACGUGAAGGCCGCCCAUGUCCUGGCAGCGCCCCUGAGGGGUGGCCUCCUGCAACCACCCACCUGCAACCACCCACCUGCAACCACCCAGGGGGCUGCAAAGCCACUCUGCUCGUGCUGGCCUGGCCUCUGAACCUAUCACAACAUAAGACAGAAGAGGACUGAAUGGGGUGCGGCCCAGCGUACGCUGCUCAGCCUGGUCUUCGUGAAUGGGCUCCAUCCAGCCUCUGUCCUCAGAGACGGCAGGUGGUGCCUCAUCUUCCUGGCAGACCUGGAGGGAGUGUGGGUAGAGUGGGACCCAGCCAGGAGUCCAGGCCCUGAAGCCAAGGGCAGGCCCAUGUCUCCACCACCCCACAGUCUAGCAUCCUCAGACCAGGCCCAAGAGAAGCCCCACUCCUGAGCAGGGGGAGGGAAGGGGAGGCCGGGGACUCAGGCAGCUGCCCCCUAGAGUGGGAAGGAAGGGCCCCAGCGUUUCCCAGCUCUAGCCCCACUUAGCUUUUGGUCCCUUUGCUGUGGUCCCCAGGGGUGUGGCUUCCUCGGGGGGCUGAAGCCAGCAGUCCCUCAGCAAACACGCACAGGGCUCCAGGGUGGGGGAUAAGACUCUGCCCCCAAAAGGCUCUGAAAUGUGUCAGGAUGUGACAUGGUGGAACUGACCAGGUUUCCAGCAGGUCUGCGGGGCUGAGGCUUGCAUCCCCUGGGAGGCUGACAUGCGCUGUCUGGCACGGAAGGUGGAUAUCCCCUCAGCUAUGCCUUCUUUGUUCACUGGCUGGAAUACUUCCGCGAUGACAAACCUCCCUCUCAUGCUGUUUGGUUACCCAGCGGCCCAUCUGCAUAGGAAAGACAGAAUAAGAGCUUGAUUCUUUUCUUUUAUUUAUCAAUUUUAAAAAUGUAAGCUUGUUGCCGGGAUCUCCUAAGGACGAUCAGUUAAUUUUUUUUUUUAACUCAGGGAUUUAAGCGGGUGAGUUGAGUAAGCUGAAGGUGUCCCAUCUUCCGAACGCGUUUCUAGGACGGCAAAGCCUCCUGUUCCGAGACGGGUAGAGCAGGAAGCCACUUCCCACAGAUCACAGCUGCCCCAUCCCUUCAGGGCGUCCUGCCUUGCCUCGAACUCCUGGGCUCAAGUGGUCCAUUCCCUUUCCUUAGAGUGUGGGAUGAAUGCCUCCAGGAGAGAGGUUCCUCCUCCGGGUCAGCAGCUGCAGCUACCUAAGCAUUCUCUUCCUCACCCAGCAGGGCCCGCAGCCCAGGGUUAUGGCGAGACUCCAGUUCAGGGUGGCGGCUGCCAGGGAGCUGUGGGUUGGUCGGCUGGAACCAGCUGAGGCCUCAGAACCAAGAAGCCCUUCCAUGCCAGGCCCAGGGAGGAGGAGCCUGUUGACAGCGUUGUCCCUGGGACCUGGUGGGCAAACAGGCCGGGGGCGAGAGCUUGGGACCCAGAGACCCGGGUCCUGCCUGCAUAUGAUCCAGUAGGGAGGGCAAGCUGGUCUGCCCCCGAGGCCCAGCCACCGUGCUGGGCUGUCCUGAGAGGCCCUGGAGGACAGGUGCGAUGCUCGGUGGGCUGUCUCCACAAUAUACAAACAUCAGUUGUAUUUCAUGCUAGCAGUAGGCAAUCCAAACAUGAGACUAAGCAAACAGCUCCACACACAAUAGCACUGCAAAUAAUAAAAUACUCAGGAAUAAACGUAGCCAAAGAAAGUCAAGACUUGUAUAUUUAAGACUAGAAAACAUUACUGAAGGAAAUGAAGAGGACAUGAUUGAACGGAAAGUCAUCUCAGCAUCACUCCCCAAGCUGACCUGCAAAUUCAGUGCAAUCCCCAUCACAAUUCCACUGUCUCCUGCCUGGGGGCUGCCCCUCCCCAUAUCAGCCCUCUGCCCAGGACACAAGACUGCUGGGUGGCCUUGUGUGUGUGUUGGGGUGGGAGGGCUCCACUCCUGUCUGUGGCGUGCAGCCCUGCUCAAUGCAUUCCCAGCACUGAAGAACGGCCUCUCCCAGGGCCCAGCAGUUGGGGCAGCCUUCCUCCUGAGGUAGGAGGCAGGACUCAACUCCGGAGGUGGGGUUUGGACACUGGACCAAAGUGAGGAUUAGCUAAAACAAGUGUCUUACAGGGAGGUGGAAGCACCUCCCUGUAAGACACGCCCACCAGUGUGCCAUGUCAUUUUACCAUUCCGUGGUAACACCCAGAAGUUACUGCCCCUUUCCAUGGCAACAACCAGACAAGCCAGAAGUUGCCACCCUCAUCCUGGAAAUUUCUGCAUAAACCGCCCCUUAAUUUGCAUGUAAGUAAAAGUGGGCAGGCUGGAUGCCCUGGUUCAUCCCUGUAUUCCCAGCACUUUGUGAGUCCGAGGUAGGAGGAUCACCUCGGCCCAGGAGUUCAAGGCUGCGGUGAGCCCUGAUGGCGCCACCAGACUCCAGCUUGGGUGACAGAGCAAGACCCUGUCUCAAAAAAAAAAAAAUUUGGGGUAUAAAUUUGACUUCAGCCCUGCCUCAGCUGCGACUCUGGGUGCACUGCCUGUCGGGUGGUCCCUGUUCUCAAGGAGCAGCCCCUUUGCUGCAGGUCUGGUUGGCCACUUAGUAACAGUUGCUGUCUAGGCUGGGUGCAGGGGCUCACUCCUGGAAUCCCAGCACUUUGGGAGGCCAAUGUGGGCGGAUUGCUUGAGCCCAGGAGUUCAAGACCCGCCUGGGCAACAUGGCAAAACCCCGUCUUUACAACAAAAAAAUACAAAAAUUAGCUGGGUGUGGUGGCACACGUCUGUAGUCCCAGCUACUCGGGAGACUGAGACAGGAGGAUUGCUUGAGCCCAGGAGGUCAAGGCUGCAAUGAGCUAUGAUGGCACCACUGUGCUCCAGCCUGGGCGACAGAGAAAGAUCCUGUCUCAAAAAAUUAAAAGUUGCUGUCUAACACACCGGCUCGUCCUUGAAUUCUUUCCCAGGCUCAGCCUCAAUUUUGGGGCUCACCUGUCUGGCAUCGCUGCUGCUUCUGGAAUGUUCAGGAGCCCACAUGUUUCCUGAUUGGGGUCAGCCAUUUUGAUGAUGAAAUUUGUAAUAUUAAGUUGUUUCGUUGGGACUUUUCAGAACCAGGUGAAUACACAGCAGAUAAAACACCUUGGAGGCUGGGCGUGGUGGUUGAAGCACUGGUAUUUCCAUCAGCUCAGUGUGAGAGCUCUGGUUGCUGUACCUCCCAUCAACAUUUGACAUGUUUAGUCUUUUUAAAUUUUCAGGCAUUCUAGUGGGUGCAUGAUGGUGUCUCACUGUAAUUUUAAUUUCUAUCUUCCUAAUGACUAAUGUUCUUGCAUCUUUUUAUGUGCUGUUCGCCAUCCAUAUAUCUUCACUGGUGAAAGGUCUGUUGAAAUCUUUUGUCUAUUUCUAAAUUGGAUUAUUUCUGUUUAUUGAGUGCUGGGGGUUCUUUGUAUAUUCUGGAUACAAGUCCUUUAUCAGUUAUGUGAUUUACAAGUAUUAUUCCCAGUCUGUGGCUUGUCUUUUUAUUUUCUUAACAGUGUAUUUUAAAGGGCAUAAGUUCCUAAUUUUGAUGAAGUCCAAUUUAUCGAUCUCUUUCUUCUAUAGAUCAUAAUUUUAGUGUUAUAUUUCAGAAAUAUAACUCAAAAAUGACAAAGAUUUUUCUCUUACAUUUUCCUUUAGAUGGUUUAUCAUUUUAGAUUCCAGUUGUGAUCCAUUUUGGGAUAAUUUUUGCACAUGGUGUGAGAUUAAUUUUUUGCAUAUAGAUGGUGAAAAGAUCAUUAUUUUUUCACUGAAGUUCUUCUGUACCUUUACUUAAAAUCAAAUGACAAUAGAUGCAUGGGUCUAUUUCUGGACUCGGUUGAUCUAUAUUUCUGUGUUAAUAUCAAUACCUCGCUGUCUUGAUUACAAUAGACUUGCAACAGCCCUUCAAGUCAGAUGGUGGACGUCCCCUCAAUUCACUUUUCUUUUUCAAGGUUGUUUCAGCUGCUCUUGGUCCUUUGCAUUUCCAUAUUAAUUUUAGAAUCAGUUUGUCAAUUUCCACACACAAAAAAACCUACUGGAAUUCUGAUUGGGUAGCACUGACCUGUAGUUCAAGUUGGAGAGCAUAUCUCAGCAAUAUCGAGUCUUCCAGUACAUGAACAAGGUCUGUCUCUACAUGGACUUAGGAGUUUAAUUUCUCUCAUCAAUGUUUGGCAGUGUUCAGUGUUCAGGUCUUGCACAUCUUAUCAGAAUUAUUCAUAUUUCACAUUUUUGAUGCUAUUUUAAGUAAUGUUUUAAAUUUCACUUUAUAAUUGUCCAUUAUUAGAACAUAGACGUACAGCUGAUUUUUAUAUCUUGAUCUUGUUUCCCACAGUCUGGCUAAACUCAAUAGUUCUAGUUGUUUUUCUGUAGAUUCUAUCAGAUUUUCUACAUGGGUAAUCAUGUCAAUGGCAAAUAAAGACAGUUUUACUUCUUCCUUUUCAAUAUGGAUGCCAUUUGUUUGUUUAUUAUUUAUCUAUCUUUUCUUUUUGCCACUGGCUAGAAGCUUCAAUACAAUGUUGCCCUUUUUCCUGAUCUUAAGGGAAAGCAUUUGGUUUUUCAUCAUUAAAUAUGAUGUUAGCUGUAGAUUUUUCAUAGAUGCCCUUUAUCCGGUUGAGGAGGUUCUCUCUUCUUCAAUUUCUUGGAAGCGUUUUUACAGAAUUGUUAUUGUUUUUCCUUAAAUGGGACAUUGAGUUUGCAGUAAGCCAUGAUGGUCCACGGCAGUCCAGCCUGGAUGACAGACGGAGACCCUAUCUCUUAAAAAAAAAUGCAGGUUCGGGCCGGGUGCGGUGGCUCAGGCCUGUAAUCCCAGCACUUUGGGAGGCUAAGGCGGGCGGAUCAUGAGGUCAGGAGUUCCAGACCAGCCUGGCCAACAUGGUGAAACCCCAUCUCUACUAAAAUUACAAAAAUAAGUCGGGCAUGGUGGUGGGCACCUGCAAUCCCAGCUACUCGGCAGGCUGAGGCACAAGAAUUGCUUGAACCCGGGACGGGGAGGUUGCAGUGAGCCGAGAUUGUGCCACGGCACUCCAGCCUGGAUAACAGAGCGAGAUUCAUCUCAAAAAAAAAAAAAAAAUGCAGGUUCUGAUCAGCGGGUUUUCCAUGAAAGGUUCACUUAUGCAAAGCAACCCUCACAUGAGGACGGAGCUGAGAAACCAAAGAAUGAGGCUGACAGAUUCGGUUUGUCAGGAGAGGGUGCUCUACUGGGGAACCUGCCACCAGGGGUGGCCUUGGGUGGGACAGGUGCAGCUCUGCACUGUUGCUCCCCAGACCCAGGGCUCAGCUUCUCUGUAGGGAAAGGCUCUGCAUGCUCCACACAGGCAAGAACGCAACAUCGCCUGUCAUCUGUGUAAUAACAUCAAGGCUGCUCUGAUGGAAAGGCAGGAUUCAUAGCGAGUGCACGUUCUUACACUAAGGACAGUAGAUACGGCAGGAAUCGGGGCAUUCCCAGGACGGCGGCUCAUCAGAAGUCUGCACGGUGGAGUAGAACCUAACACGGAGUCACUUCUGUCUCCACAG
RNAcentral lists this long non-coding RNA (9496 nucleotides) under Homo sapiens (human). RNAcentral describes it as "HSALNT0145469". The stretch from base 2687 to 2803 matches the Rfam family "Metazoan signal recognition particle RNA". Lineage: Eukaryota; Metazoa; Chordata; Mammalia; Primates; Hominidae. The record is from RNAcentral.